Molecule: long non-coding RNA, 2296 nt
Filed under: Ananas comosus (pineapple)
Lineage: Eukaryota; Viridiplantae; Streptophyta; Magnoliopsida; Poales; Bromeliaceae
Description: long non-coding RNA (ACOM_LNC036429)
Source: RNAcentral
AGGCUGUGUACCGGUACAGCCUUGAUGGUUGUACCGGUACAGGAUUUGUACCGGUACUCUUUGAUGGUUGUACCGGUACAGUUGAGAUUUUCUGCGAACCCGAGGCUUCGGUUUGCUGUCGAGCAGGAUUUGUACCGGUACACUUUUCCGUAUACCUGUCACGCCCCGGGACCGAUUUUAAAAAUCUUUUUUUUAAAAACACAGUUGCGGAAAACGUGUCAUUUUUUUUUUUUUUUCAACCUGGCCCACGCGACGUACAGACCCGCCACAAAUACAAAGUUCCUCUAUCCACUCGGACAGAGUCUCCUUUGUAUUUGCACGGCGUACCAGCUAUACAACAGGAUCUCAACCACAACCUACAUUUACCAAUCAACAAGCAAAGCAUGAUAUGCAUUUCCAUACAGCUAACAAUCCUUAGAAUGAUGCAUGCCUCUAAGCACUCCUUAGGCGCUGGAUGAUGCAAUGCACAAUACAACAAACAUCCUAUUUAAAAGUGCUCCCCACACGGAAGCUUUUGUUUUUAAACUCUAAUUCAAUCAUUCAUAAAAACCAUUCGAAAACCUUUUUAAAACUGUUUCCCACACGGAAACUCUAUUUUGAAAACCGACUACCUCGAGGGGUAGAAAACCACGAUGCAUAACUACAAGAAAACCAAAUCUCCACAGAACCAAAACCACAGAUCGAAAACUCCAAUCUCAUAUAUACGAGGAAAACCAACACCACAGUUCACAUACAUUCAAGCAUACAUAAGAUCAGCUAACUGAACCAUUAUUAAGAAAACUACUAAGUGCGGGAAAGAAAUAACCAGGGUGACGGUCGCUACUGCCGUCUAGCUAGAUCGUCCUCUCGUCGAGCCCAAAAACCAACUCCUCGUCUCUGUCACCUGGGGGGGAAAAGGGGGGUGAGAAACCGCAACCAUGGUUUUCUCAGUGGGUACGACAGAGCCACGAAGGCAAGUCGUAAUCACCGGAAACCAAAGGAGAUAGAUAAACAAGUAUAUAUGUAAGCUGAUAUGAAAUAGAACUACAGUAGCUACAACAGAUAAAUAGGAAGCAAUAAAUGAACCUGCUACUGUAUAGAAAAUAAUGCAAAGAAUGCCUCAAUGUACUGAACCAGAAACUGUACCCAAUCUGUGCCUGCUAUAUUGGUCCGCAGACCUCAAGCGCUGCCUGUCACUAACUGCACCGACCUGAUCCAUCCGCCCCGCAGGACGACCCAUCCGGAUAAGUACACCUCCGAUCGGUGGCCAAACCGAUCCGGUGUCAUGAAUACCCCCAAGUGCCGUGACUAAGUCAUGCUGGUAUGCUCAAACAAAAACAAACCCGGCUAAAGCCGGUGCCUAGGCCGAAGCCAACAACGAGGGCGUACAAUGCCAAACUGAAAUAGAAGCUAGGGCGUACAACGCCGAACUGAAAUAGAUGCUAGGGCGUACAACGCCAAACCUCGAUCAACCAGAUCGAAACACACGACAGGAGAGUCGAUGUGUUGCCUGGACCCAAGGUCCACAGAGAUACUGAAAUACAAAUGCAACCUGCUCUACAUGUCUAUCAAUCACUAACCAAUGCAGUCAACGAAAUACGAUAACCAAACGAUAACCAAACAACUGACAUGUAGAGCUAAUAUACUGGAAUAGAAAAACAGGAGAAGGAGGUGAAACGCUCUCACCGACUACUAGCUCGAAGCACCCACCUGUCACUGUCGCGUUGGAACACUGGGUACGCACAGAGUCUACCGGACCUAAGAAGAUCCACCAAGUCAGUAUCCAAUCCACUAACCCAAAGCACGAGACUCACAAACCCCCACACAGGAUCCCCGUAAUCGGUUUCCCAAAACCGACUACCGUAACUCACCGGAAGUCCCGAAAACCACACCGGGACGCCGUCGGGAUCCACUAAGUGUCCCGAACUCACCGACUCGUGUCACGAGUCACCCGCUGCCCCAAAGCACUCCAAUUUGGAUGCCUUGGCAGCGAACACAAGGUCACACAACAAUACGAUCAUCGCCGGAUAAUCGUACGAAUCCGGGUUCCCGGAAGUGUCUAUUUCGACACCAGAACCCUCCGUCGCUCACCUAUCAUCAUCGAACCCACAAAAUGACGAUGGUGACCAGCCAACAAGGCUCAGCGACAAAACACGAAGCAACAAAACACCGUCGGAAAGAAUCCGAACCGAAACCGCGUUCUUUCGGCGAAUUUCGCUGAAAAACGCACCGAAAUCGACCUACCGAUUUCCGCGAAAGCUAACGGACCAUGGACGAUCAGUCCAGCGGUCAUUACAAACUCCCACACACUGCCCAC